CUAGGUCUCAGUUCAGAUUGCAGGCUGCAACCCGCCUGCAUGAAGUCGGAAUUGCUAGUAAUCGCGGAUCAGCAUGCCGCGGUGAAUACAUUCCCGGGCCUUGUACACACCGCCCGUCACACCAUGAGAGUUGGAAAUACCCGAAGCCUGUGAGCUAACUUUUAGAGGCAGCAGUCGAAGGUAGAAUCAAUGAUUGGGGUGAAGUCGUAACAAGGUACC
This 219-nucleotide ribosomal RNA is filed under the name uncultured bacterium. RNAcentral's name for it is "partial 16S ribosomal RNA". It matches the Rfam family "Bacterial small subunit ribosomal RNA", at positions 1281 to 1500 of the family's 1533-position model. The record is from RNAcentral.